Molecule: ribosomal RNA, 450 nt
Filed under: uncultured bacterium
Lineage: Bacteria
Description: bacterial SSU rRNA
Rfam family: Bacterial small subunit ribosomal RNA
Source: RNAcentral
AUUGAACGCUGGCGGCAGGCCUAACACAUGCAAGUCGAACGAGACCUUCGGGUCUAGUGGCGCACGGGUGCGUAACGCGUGGGAAUCUGCCCUUAGGUACGGAAUAACUCAGAGAAAUUUGUGCUAAUACCGUAUGAUGUCGAAAGACCAAAGAUUUAUCGCCUAAGGAUGAGCCCGCGUAAGAUUAGCUUGUUGGUGAGGUAAAAGCUCACCAAGGCGACGAUCUUUAGCUGGUCUGAGAGGAUGAUCAGCCACACUGGGACUGAGACACGGCCCAGACUCCUACGGGAGGCAGCAGUGGGGAAUAUUGGAUAAUGGGCGAAAGCCUGAUCCAGCAAUGCCGCGUGAGUGAUGAAGGCCUUAGGGUUGUAAAGCUCUUUUACCCGGGAUGAUAAUGACAGUACCGGGAGAAUAAGCUCCGGCUAACUCCGUGCCAGCAGCCGCGGUAAA